CGCCUUGCCAGCCCGCUCAGAAACUUAAAGGAAUUGACGGGGGCCCGCACAAGCGGUGGAGCAUGUGGUUUAAUUCGAUGAUACGCGAGGAACCUUACCUGGGCUCGAACGUAAGAUGACUGUAGGUGAAAGCUUACAUCUCUUCGGAGCAUUUUACGAGGUGCUGCAUGGUUGUCGUCAGCUCGUGCCGUGAGGUGUCGGGUUAAGUCCCAUAACGAGCGCAACCCCUACCUUUAGUUGCCAUCAGGUAAUGCUGGGGACUCUAAAGGAACUGCCUACGCAAGUAGUGAGGAAGGCGGGGAUGACGUCAAAUCAGCACGGCCCUUACGUCCAGGGCUACACACGUGCUACAAUGGCCGAUACAGAGGGCAGCUACCUGGUGACAGGAUGCAAAUCUCCAAAGUCGGUCUCAGUUCGGAUCGGAGUCUGCAACCCGACUCCGUGAAGUUGGAUUCGCUAGUAAUCGCGCAUCAGCCAUGGCGCGGUGAAUACGUUCCCGGGCCUU
This 505-nucleotide ribosomal RNA is filed under the name uncultured Sphingobacteriales bacterium. RNAcentral describes it as "bacterial SSU rRNA". It matches the Rfam family "Bacterial small subunit ribosomal RNA", at positions 903 to 1382 of the family's 1533-position model. Lineage: Bacteria; Pseudomonadati; Bacteroidota; Sphingobacteriia; Sphingobacteriales. The record is from RNAcentral.